RNAcentral lists this ribosomal RNA (200 nucleotides) under uncultured Enterococcus sp. Its description in RNAcentral is "partial 16S ribosomal RNA". It matches the Rfam family "Bacterial small subunit ribosomal RNA", at positions 9 to 213 of the family's 1533-position model. Lineage: Bacteria; Bacillati; Bacillota; Bacilli; Lactobacillales; Enterococcaceae. The record is from RNAcentral.
GAGUUUGAUCAUGGCUCUCGACGAACGCUGGCGGCGUGCCUAAUACAUGCGAGUCGAACGCUCGAGUGCUUGCACUCAAGGAGUGGCGGACGGGUGAGUAACGCCUGGGUAACCUGCCCAUCAGAGGGGGAUAACACUUGGAAACAGGUGCUAAUACCGCAUAACAGUCAAACCGCACGGUGUUGGAUGAAAGACGUUCG